RNAcentral lists this ribosomal RNA (152 nucleotides) under uncultured Pseudomonas sp. Its description in RNAcentral is "partial 16S ribosomal RNA". It matches the Rfam family "Bacterial small subunit ribosomal RNA", at positions 381 to 525 of the family's 1533-position model. Lineage: Bacteria; Pseudomonadati; Pseudomonadota; Gammaproteobacteria; Pseudomonadales; Pseudomonadaceae. The record is from RNAcentral.
GCCUGAUCCAGCCAUGCCGCGUGUGUGAAGAAGGUCUUCGGAUUGUAAAGCACUUUAAGUUGGGAGGAAGGGUUGUAGAUUAAUACUCUGCAAUUUUGACGUUACCGACAGAAUAAGCACCGGCUAACUCUGUGCCAGCAGCCGCGGUAAUA